RNAcentral lists this ribosomal RNA (460 nucleotides) under uncultured bacterium. RNAcentral's name for it is "partial 16S ribosomal RNA". It matches the Rfam family "Bacterial small subunit ribosomal RNA", at positions 338 to 795 of the family's 1533-position model. The record is from RNAcentral.
CCUACGGGAGGCAGCAGUGAGGAAUAUUGGUCAAUGGGCGCGAGCCUGAACCAGCCAAGUCGCGUGAGGGAGGACGGCCCUACGGGUUGUAAACCUCUUUUGCCGGGGAGCAACGGGCGUCACGUGUGGCGCCACUGAGAGUACCCGGAGAAAAAGCAUCGGCUAACUCCGUCCCAGCGGCCGCGGUAAUACGGAGGAUGCGAGCGUUAUCCGGAUUUAUUGGGUUAAAGGGGUGCGUAGGCGGUUGGUUAAGUCAGUGGGAAAGUUGAGGGCCCAAACCCCUUCCCGCCAUUGAAACUGGCGCUCUUGAGUGGAAGAGAAGUAGGCGGAAUGCGUGGUGUAGCGGUGAAAUGCAUAGAUAUCACGCAGAACCCCGAUUGCGAAGGCAGCAUGCCGGCUUCCGACUGACGCUGAAGCACGAAAGCGUGGGGAUCGAACAGGAUUAGAUACCCGAGUAGUC